This is a long non-coding RNA of Mustela lutreola (European mink), 300 nucleotides long. RefSeq lists it as uncharacterized. Lineage: Eukaryota; Metazoa; Chordata; Mammalia; Carnivora; Mustelidae. The record is from RefSeq and is a predicted model, not a curated record. The transcript has 3 exons.
UUCGGUCGGCGGUAAUCCCCAGAGGGGAGCUUCACGCGCAUCUCCCGCCCUUUGGCUCCUCAGCCAAGCAUACACCCCGCAAGACUGGACACAGUGAAAAGGCAGCCUUUGGCAACCAUAAAGAAGGCCCUCACCAGGAACCAAUGAUGCUGGCACCCCAAUUUCAGAUUUUCAGCCUCUAGAAUGAAAGAGUUUUUAAAAUGUACUACACUUCAGCGGCUGUAUCCUGCCUGAGCCCAGCACCAAGGAGCAUCUCAACAAGCUCUGGAAGGAACUCACUUUCCUCCUUUUGUUGAAAGA